Molecule: long non-coding RNA, 544 nt
Organism: Nicotiana tabacum (common tobacco)
Lineage: Eukaryota; Viridiplantae; Streptophyta; Magnoliopsida; Solanales; Solanaceae
Source: RefSeq, a predicted model, not a curated record
UCUUCUGCAUUCCUCUCUAAUUUUUUCCUCACAAAGGCUUACUCCUACACUAUGUAACAGGUCAUAUAUCACUCACUCAUACACACGAAUUAGACUACAACUUUCAAAGAUCUUUCAUUUUUCUCCACCCUCAUUUUCAGUACAAAAGCUUCUGAAAUUCCAGUCCUAAAAGCUCUACAAAAAACUAAGAGAUAAAAGGUUCAAGACUUUUUUCUGAGUUUAAAUCUUGUGCUACAAGUUCUGGGUUUAUAGAUGUUGAGGUCAAAGAAGAGUCGCUAUUUUGUUGGAAUUGAAGUUCAGAUUGCUCCUUGUUUCCAUGUUGCUAUUUCACUACUAGUAGCUUUGUAGUUAUUCUGUCACAAAGCUUUACAAGCCAAGAGGAUCAUGAGAUGUGGCGAUUACAGAGAACUAGUUGUUCAUUUGAAUAUGUAACUAGCUUAAAGCAUCAUCAUAAUAUGUAUCCUAUAAUAGAUUUUCAGAUGUAUGAAUCAAUUGUCAAUUGUAUUUAAAUCUAGCAUUAGUUCAGUUUGUUGAAAGUAUUUAA